Nicotiana attenuata is the source of this 696-nucleotide long non-coding RNA. RefSeq lists it as uncharacterized. The transcript is spliced from 2 exons. The record is from RefSeq and is a predicted model, not a curated record. NCBI's taxonomy places the organism in Eukaryota, Viridiplantae, Streptophyta, Magnoliopsida, Solanales, Solanaceae.
CCUCACUUUUGUGCGUCACCCCCUUCCUAGCCGCCUCCCCUGCGUUCUCUUCCCAGCCGCCUCCCCAUUUCUUUCAUUUUCUCAUUUUCUUCUUCAACAACAAUUUCUCUCUUCACAUGUAUAGAGCAAACCAACGGAAUCAUUGGCUAGAUAGUCCGGCGCCUUUUCUCUUUCCAGGUAUGUUAUGCAUUUACAUCUUAGAAUUUUUCAAUUCCAUACACCUACUUGAUUUGAAAUUUUGGAUUUAUAUUAUAACAAUUUGAUAGAUAUUGUGCAGUAUUGUAAUAGGUAUUGAGCGGAACCUUCAAGAUUAUAAUGUAAUGUUGGGAGGAGCCACAGUUCGUCGAAAAGACAUUACAAAUAAAAAUUAGAUGAAAAUCCUUUCAAAAGUUUAUAGAAAAGGUACAUUUUAAUCUGUUGAUGCAAGCAUAUCAAAGAUCAAUCUUGAUUCAAAGAGUGAAAUUACUUUAUCGUUGAUUGCAGAAGAUAAUUUGGUGGCAAUAUCUUCAAUCUCCAGAUCAAAUACUUAGAGCUUAGUUUUAUUUUUGAUAUGGAACCGUUCAAAAUUUGUAGAUUAGAGUUGAAUAACUGAGUGAACUUUAGACAGAUAAUUGCAUAUUUUAGAAUUAGCUUUUGAAACUUUUUGAUGUAAAUUUGUAUAAUAAAGUGAUAUUCAAAGUUUAUUAUUGUGUGUUA